This 791-nucleotide ribosomal RNA is filed under the name Herpetineuron toccoae. Its description in RNAcentral is "eukaryotic LSU rRNA". The stretch from base 312 to 464 matches the Rfam family "5.8S ribosomal RNA". Lineage: Eukaryota; Viridiplantae; Streptophyta; Bryopsida; Hypnales; Anomodontaceae. The record is from RNAcentral.
GUUUCCGUAGGUGAACCUGCGGAAGGAUCAUUGCACACACGAGUUGCAGCCAACCCGCGGCGAACGAACCCAUUGUCCCCUUCGGUGGGUCGUGGCGCCUCGCGGCGUCGCGGCCGGCCGCCUCCCUUCGUCACGAGCGAGCGGGCGAGCUCGCUCUCUCGCGGCGUUGGGUUUCCACGAUGCAUCCACCUUGACCGAAUGACUGAGUCCCUUUUUACUCGAUGGGAGUGAGUUCCGUCCCUCUCGGCUUGGCUUGCCUGCUGAGGGGGCCGGCGCUGGUUACCUUGCGAGUUGAAACCUUAACUUGAAACAACUCUCAGCAACGGAUAUCUUGGCUCUUGCAACGAUGAAGAACGCAGCGAAAUGCGAUACGUAGUGUGAAUUGCAGAAUUCCGCGAAUCAUCGAGUCUUUGAACGCAAGUUGCGCCCGAGGCUUGUCCAAGGGCAUUUCCGCUAGAGCGUCACCGCGCCCCCCCACCGCUCCACUCCCGCGAGGAGCUGGGUCGAGUGAAAGUGGCCGUCCCCGUGGGCCUCCUCCUCCUCCUCCCCCUUCGAAGGAAGGGAAGGGAAGGAAGGAAGGCCUCAGCAGGGUUGGCUGAAAUGGAAGGAAUUCGGCCGCCGUGGUGACACAGUCCGCGAUCAGGUGAUCCGGGCUCUUCCGGGAGCCCGGACUUUUUCCAAGUGCGUGGCUGCGUCCCCCAGUCGGUCGUGUUUCCCUCAUGCAGGUCGAGCGCGCCCCCGCGGCGCGCGUCACGCAUCAGACCUCUAAUCGGAAAAGACUACCCGCUGAG